AAGUCGUAACAAGGUUUCCGUAGGUGAACCUGCGGAAGGAUCAUUCUUGUAUCUACACCACUACUUUUAGUGGCAAACUUUGUGAACUGUACACUCACUUGUGCGCAUCACUGCUGUCGAUGUUGCUGAGACGAGUGGGCCGACUUGGCGAAAGGCGAUACCUCCGACUGGAAGCAUGCGCGUCGUCCUUUUUUGGUUCACAACACCUUGGCACUUCGACGGACGUGUGAUGUUGCGCUAACCUCCGCGUACCACACUAAUCUUUAAACUUACUUUUAUAAUUAAAUUUAAUACAACUUUCAGCAACGGAUCUCUUGGCUCUC
RNAcentral lists this unclassified non-coding RNA (323 nucleotides) under fungal sp. Its description in RNAcentral is "partial internal transcribed spacer region". The stretch from base 1 to 46 matches the Rfam family "Eukaryotic small subunit ribosomal RNA", at positions 1786 to 1831 of the family's 1831-position model. The record is from RNAcentral. Lineage: Eukaryota; Fungi.